This 2017-nucleotide long non-coding RNA is filed under the name Capsicum annuum. RNAcentral's name for it is "long non-coding RNA (CANN_LNC011183)". Lineage: Eukaryota; Viridiplantae; Streptophyta; Magnoliopsida; Solanales; Solanaceae. The record is from RNAcentral.
AAAAAACAUGAAUACAAGACACCUACACUCUUGCGGAGACCUCAAGGGAAUCGAAACUCCCAAGCAACCACCAUUUCUAAGCAAGUUAACAACACAAGGAUUUCACAUUGCCACAAGGAUUCCACCUUUCCAAACACUCUAAAUGAGUUUACGAGAUAGAGCAUCAAAGUUUUAAAUGAAAAAAUGACCUAAAUGUUCUAUUUAUAGACUAGGGAAACACUUAUUACAAAAAUGACCAAAAGGCCUUUAUUGAGCCCAAACAAAGGGGCGGCCUUGUAGUGUACUCCUUGGACGCUUUUGGAGUGUUGGUACUUGUUCUCAACACUUCAAAUAUUGUUCCUUUGAUAGGCAUCCCCACAAGCUCAGGUCUUCACUUAUGUCUUCAUGUCCUCAAGUGCUAAGAUGCCUCUUUGACCCGUAUCAUCCUCCUUUUCUUAGAAAGGAUUCUUCCUCGAAUCUGAACCUUGCAAAAUAAUAGGAAGGACAAUCAAAGAAGUUCCUCAAGGUAUGAGGGUUAGGAUUAAUGUAAUCAAUCAUAGAAUCUUGCCAAGGUGGCUCAAACUUCACAUACAACCAAACAUCCAUCUUACCCGCAUACCCUCCCAAGAAAGAAUAAAUUGCGCAACCCACAUAAGUAUGAUAAGAAACAUGGAACAAGAGUUGCUUAUCAAGUGGAAAACAUAGACUCUUCUAUGAACAACAAAUAGGAUUGAAAGACAAGAUAGGAAAACCGUACAUUCCAUGCACAUUCAAGUUAUUCCAAAAGACACCAUCACCAUAUUUUAAAUGAUCACUGGGGUCAAAUGGGUGGAGUGUCCAUGGGAACGGGCUGGGACACACUUCCCAAUCCCAAUACUACUACAAUUAUGCUCAAAUGUUCCUUCUAUACUCGCAUGAUCUACAACAAAAACAACUAGAGGGUCAUCCUUAGUCAGUUGGCCAAUAUGUUCAACAUCACCAUUUUCACACACAAGUUGGUCUUCAUGACUUCCAUAAGACAAUGUACUAUCACUUGCCACAAUGGUUUCAACACUAGGUGGAUUAACUAGUGUAUCCAUAAUCUCAAGUUUUACAUUAUCAUCACGCAAUGAAGGCACAUUCGUCUCACCUAGGGCAAACUAUCAUUCAUACUUAGUUGGUUAUAAGCCUUAUUAACUAGAGGAAAAAAAUUAGUUUCAUUACCUAGUAACUCAUGCAGAGCUUGGCCACUCAUGGGAAUUUGAUUAGGAAAGCUUGAAUGCUCUAUCAAGUUAUCCGACUUCUUGCAAAUAGAGCUCUCCGUCUUUUGUAUUCAUCCUUCUAUUCUAUCCAUUAUUCUUUUCAUUCUUUCCAUUCGUCCUUUCAUUCUCUCCAUUUUCCGUUCAAAAGAUCCCAAGAGGCUAUCCAUGACAUCAAGCUUUGUCAUAAUGGAUUUAAACCAACUAAGCAUUUCACCUUCAUCUGCCAUUGUACCUAUCAAGAACUACUAAACAAACAACAUAAAAAUAGUAAACAUAUUAAAGGUUAGAAAAAAUUAGUCCGCAAUUCAUCUCAAAACAGUCCACAAUCUCUCAAGCUUACACUUUUGAAGUAUUCACUCUAUUGGCCUCACAGGUGUUGAUAACUCGCUUAUACUCCAAUGAGGUUACUUGGUCCCAAUUGUGGCUUGAGGUUGUGGCUCGAGGUAAAAAUAGAUUCUUGUUUGAAACAACUCAAGAAAUGAUAUUCAAACUUGGACCAAAGAAAAUACUAUGACUUAAAAAUGAGAAAAGCACACAAUAUAACGCUUAGCACGAAAGAAACCGUACUCAAAAACUAAUCUACAACCUAGUAGGUAUUUACUAGUUUUAUAAUUAGCAUAAGCAUCAAAUAAAUUGAAACUAAUGGAAAAAAGAAAGUGAAACUAGAAUAUCCAAUUUUCUUAAGCUCUUUGAUUAUAUGACACUUAACUAUUGGACAUUGGAAUAUGGUUGAAGUUGAAAAAUUUUUGUUUCAAGACACUAGUUGUUCAAUUUCAUGUAUGGAAGAGGAGAAUUUC